RNAcentral lists this unclassified non-coding RNA (319 nucleotides) under Hevea brasiliensis (rubber tree). Lineage: Eukaryota; Viridiplantae; Streptophyta; Magnoliopsida; Malpighiales; Euphorbiaceae. The record is from RNAcentral.
CUCAGAUUGCUUAAAAUAUUUCACUACUCAAUUGUUGGAUGCAUUACUUGGGUGCGAGCAAUGAACAUCAAUAAUAUCUAAAGAAUAGCAGCAAAAGCAAGUAGCCACACAACGUCUUUAUGACAUGCAGUUUACCAUUUCAAGAUUUAUCCACAAUGAUGGCUAUCAUAAGCUACGAGAAUGAACCUAGCAAGUAUAACAUUUCAAGGAUUAAAUCAAACCUUGAGCACCAAAAAUUCCGCCAUAAAAUUCCUCAUCUAAUUAAACGCAGAGGAGUUUGUUGAAAGGACAUAAGAAAUUUUAAUAAUAGGAAAUAUCC